UUAUACAGCGAAACUGCGAAUGGCUCAUUAAAUCAGUUAUCGUUUAUUUGAUAGUACCUUACUACUUGGAUAACCGUGGUAAUUCUAGAGCUAAUACAUGCUAAAAACCCCGACUCACGAAGGGGUGUAUUUAUUAGAUUAAAAACCAAUGCCCUUCGGGGCUCUUUGGUGAUUCAUAAUAACUUUUCGAAUCGCAUGGCCUUGCGCCGGCGAUGGUUCAUUCAAAUUUCUGCCCUAUCAACUUUCGAUGGCAGGGUCUUGGCCUGCCAUGGUUACAACGGGUAACGGAGGGUUAGGGCUCGACCCCGGAGAAGGAGCCUGAGAAACGGCUACUACAUCCAAGGAAGGCAGCAGGCGCGCAAAUUACCCAAUCCCGAUUCGGGGAGGUAGUGACAAUAAAUACUGAUACAGGGCUCUUUUGGGUCUUGUAAUUGGAAUGAGUACAAUUUAAAUCCCUUAACGAGGAACAAUUGGAGGGCAAGUCUGGUGCCAGCAGCCGCGGUAAUUCCAGCUCCAAUAGCGUAUAUUAAAGUUGUUGCAGUUAAAAAGCUCGUAGUUGAACCUUGGGCCUGGCUGGCCGGUCCGCCUCACCGCGUGCACUGGUUCGGCCGGGCCUUUCCCUCUGGGGAACCUCAUGGUCUUCACUGAUCGUGACGGGGAACCAGGACUUUUACUGUGAAAAAAUUAGAGUGUUCAAAGCAGGCCUAUGCUCGAAUACAUUAGCAUGGAAUAAUAAAAUAGGACGUGUGGUUCUAUUUUGUUGGUUUCUAGGACCGCCGUAAUGAUUAAUAGGGACAGUCGGGGGCAUCAGUAUUCAAUUGUCAGAGGUGAAAUUCUUGGAUUUAUUGAAGACUAACUACUGCGAAAGCAUUUGCCAAGGAUGUUUUCAUUAAUCAGGAACGAAAGUUAGGGGAUCGAAGACGAUCAGAUACCGUCGUAGUCUUAACCAUAAACUAUGCCGACUAGGGAUCGGACGGUGUUACUUAUUGACCCGUUCGGCACCUUACGAGAAAUCAAAGUC
This 1021-nucleotide ribosomal RNA is filed under the name Lulworthia sp. NIOCC 31V. RNAcentral's name for it is "SSU rRNA". It matches the Rfam family "Eukaryotic small subunit ribosomal RNA", at positions 74 to 1105 of the family's 1831-position model. Lineage: Eukaryota; Fungi; Ascomycota; Sordariomycetes; Lulworthiales; Lulworthiaceae. The record is from RNAcentral.